RNAcentral lists this ribosomal RNA (253 nucleotides) under uncultured bacterium. Its description in RNAcentral is "partial 16S ribosomal RNA". It matches the Rfam family "Bacterial small subunit ribosomal RNA", at positions 524 to 776 of the family's 1533-position model. The record is from RNAcentral.
UACGUAGGGGGCAAGCGUUGUCCGGAUUUAUUGGGCGUAAAGAGCGUGUAGGCGGCCAAACAGGUCCACUGUGAAAACUCGAGGCUCAACCUCGAGAGGUCGGUGGAAACCGUCUGGCUAGAGUCCGGAAGAGGAGAGUGGAAUUCCCGGUGUAGUGGUGGAAUGCGUAGAUAUCGGGAGGAAUACCAGUGGCGAAAGCGGCACCCUAGCGUUAGCCUGACGCUCAUGUGCGAAAGCGUGGGGAGCAAACGGG